Trematomus bernacchii (emerald rockcod) is the source of this 461-nucleotide long non-coding RNA. RefSeq lists it as uncharacterized. The transcript has 4 exons. The record is from RefSeq and is a predicted model, not a curated record. Lineage: Eukaryota; Metazoa; Chordata; Actinopteri; Perciformes; Nototheniidae.
CUGAGCUGGAAGGGGAAGUCGCCACCUACAGGACAGCAAAUCUAAAAAUGUAUUUGGAUAAACUAUUAAACCAGGUAUUUUCACAAAAAGAACAAUCUGAGACACAGUGUGAGAUGGCACCCUGGACACCCACACACCCCAAUAAUCCCCCUUCAAAGAGCGAGCCACAUGGGAAGGGGAGAUUCCAGUGCGUCCAGAGGUCUGGGCAAAAAUAAAAAACAACACAAGGGACUCCAUGUUCGUGAAGGAGUUGGCUGUGGCCUUUUGAGGCACCGAAACCUUAGGGGAAAGGAGCCUGACUGGAAAGGAAUGCCCCACCAUCAAGACCACCAGGCAGCCUCUAACCCCGCAGAAGCUAUCGGUUUUGAAAGUUUGCUUCAAGCAGUGGCUGUAAUAAAGACGUGGAGGACCAAGAAAUGCUGGCCAUAUUGGCAAAGACCAGAAGAUACAUAACAGAGAAG